GUUCGGUUUGCGAGGUCUCCGCCUGGCAGCUCUAUACCUCAGGAAGAGGGUAGAACGCUCUGCCUACCCAGCUGACGUUCCCAGGCCGGGCAUUGCGCCCCCUGCCAGGGCUCUCGCUCCGGCGCCGCGAGCACCAUCUUCCAGAACUAGAGAGAGCCCUUUCAUUCUUAGGUCGUCGGCGGGCCCGGUGACUCCAGCACUGGGCUGGUGUGUCCCUCGCUGGCGCAGCGCGGGCACUGGCACGUAGGUGGAGCUCCAGUAGUUGUUGGAUGAGCCAAGAGGUCGUGAAAACAGGUUAUCUGCCCCAGUCCCGGAGGCCACAGUGUCCUCAAACUGAGACUCCUAAUCUAGGACUCCCCAUCUCCGGAGCGUCCUCCGGCUUGACCUCAGACUCCCAGAUCCACUGCGCUCAGUCUCCCAAAACGAGCGGGGAAGACAAUGGGAGACCAGAGGAAAUGCACCUUUUGGGAAGAGCCAGGCAUCGUUUGCUGGUUUUGUGGCUACAAGCAGAGUUAAGUGGUUGGUGUCAAAAGUUAAGCAAUCAAAUGCUGGGGAAACCAACACGGAAACUACAACUUUCAACUAUAUACUACACAUAUAUACUGGAAAUGGACACUUAAAUAAAUGAAUAGUGGAUGAUGGCCACCAGGUCUCUUACCUGUUACCAGCAGAAGGAGGCUAGAGUGGUCCAUGUGCUCUUGGGUCAGAGCUGAAGUCAUCAGUGUGAACUCUUAUUUGGCUUAGUAGAGCUACAGAGAUAUAUAUAGUAGAUAUAUAUAUAUAGAGAGAGAGAGAUUAGAUAGAUAUAAAUAUGUGUUUACACAGGGUAGUAACACAAUGCAUGUAUCUCCUUGCUCUAUCAGCUAAGUGGGCCUGCAGAGGACAACCAACACAGCUAGCACCCAGAUCUUCUUUUUAGUACCAUUCUUCAACAAAAGGAACCAGUCCUCCUUGGGGAAAUAGCUGAUUCUAAUCCUGGGACGGGAAAUAUUUAACAAGAACCUGGAGCAUCCUGCUGUGUCAGAAGGUAAGGAAGUUCUCUCCCACACCCACCUAAAAAGUUGGGUUUUGUUUGUUUUGUUUUAAUUAACAAGAAUGUUGGGGGUAUGUCAAAGCAACACAACAUCCAAUUGAAAGAGCUCCCAAUGGCCAAAGCCAGAAAAUUUGAACAAGAAAAUAAAUAACACACUAUUUGAAUAUAGCCAAGAGUAUAAAAUAAAUAUCUGCUGAUAUAAAUAAAUGAUUAAGUAAAUAAAUAGGGGAAAACAGGCAAAUCUCCUAUGCAGAAGAAUUAAAAAUAAUUUAUGUCUGUAUUGUGCCCUGAAUGAGAUGGAAUAAAACUCCCUGUUCCUUGACUGUGGGCUGCAUACAGGAACUUCCUUCCAAAGAAUACAAAAUGAGAGCUGGGACUGUGACUGAAUGGUAGCACACUUGCCUGGCAUGCAUGAGGCACUGGGUCUAAUUUUCAGCACCACAUAUAAAUAAAUUAAAUAAAUAAAGGUCAACAACUAAAAAGAAAUAAUAAUUUUAAAAAAGAAUACAAAAUGAAAAGGAGGGGAGAAAAGUACGUUUACAAUAGAGAAACAUGACCAACACUUUCUUGGAUAGAUAAUUAAGGUGAACAUCAGAAGCAAUGAGUCUUGUUGAUAGCAUGGAUUCUUGAUAUGAUGUGAUGAAAAUGGCAUUUUAUCUCUGUGUCCUUCUUCCCAAAAGCCCAUAACACCUAAUAGUGAGAAAAACAUCAAAGGAAUCCCAAUUGAAGGACAGCCUACAAAUUACUUGACCAACACAAUCCCAGCCUAUCAAGGUCAUCAAAAAUAAGCAAAGUCAGGGCUGGGGAUGUGGCUCAAGUGGUAGCGCGCUUGCCUGGCAUGUGCAGGGCGCUGGGUUCAAUCCUCAACACCACAUAAAAAUAAAAUAAAGAUACUGUAUCCACCUAAAACUAAAAAAUAAAUAUUAAAAAAAAUUAAAUACUUGAGAAAUGCCCAGGUAAGUGUAGAAAGCAAAUCUAAAAAAAAAAAAACAACAAACAAACAAAGUCAGAGAAACUGUCACAAUCAUGAGUAUCCUAACAAAAUAUAAGAACUAAAUACUUUGUAGUAUUCUUGAUGAGAUCCUGGAACCAAAAACCACGUUAUAUAAAAGCUUGAGAAAAUCAGAAAAUUGGAAUACCAUAUGGACUUUGGUAAAUAACAAUGAACCAAUAUUGCUUCUUUAAUUGUGAGAAAUGUACCCUCCUAAUAAAAGAUGAUAAUAAUAGGGAAAGCCAAGUAUAGGGCAUAUGGGAACUCUCUUCACAACUUUUUUAGUAAACAUCAAUCUAUUUAAGAGAAAAUUUUGUUUUUAAAGUUUUAUUGUUUCAUUUUUUAAUUUUUGUUUAUGUAUUUUUGGGGGUUUGAACCUAGGGGCGCUAGCCACUGAGCAACAGCCCCACCCCUUUUUGUUUUUUAUUUUAAAGCAGGGUUUCAUGAAGUUGUUAGGGCUAAGUAGCUAAGCUUGUGAUCCUCCUGCCUCAGCCUCCCAAGCAUUAGAAGUUUGAAUUUUUUUUUUUUUUCUGGAUGGUCAAUAUUUAAAAAAAAAAAAAAAAGCAAUAGACCCAAAUUUCACCAACUGUCAACUCAGGUUUGUUGACAAUGUUUCUUUUUCUUAUUUUUUUUUCCCCUAUUGGUUAAUUUCUGUCUCCAGCUAGCAUUCCCCUUGAGAGGAAGAACGGCUUAAUCCUAGUUCAGGGAAAACCCAAACUUUUGUGCUUUUCUUUGUUUUUUGAGUGCUUUCCCCCUGCUGCUUACCCCCACCCACCCCAAGGCUUAUAGCUGAGCUUUCAGCUUUAAGUUUUCAAAGUGGGAACAGAAAGGUUGUACCUGGUUGUUGGUCAUCCUAAAUUCAUGCUGGCAUGCCUUCCCCUCCAACUCCACAGCCUUCCUGAAUUGCGGACAUUGCUAAGGCCAUGCCUCAGCGGUUGCUCCUCAUCCAACCGUGGGAACUCUGAGGUCUGCUGGCAGUCAGUGCCCCUCCUGAGCUACUCCCAGCCACCCUGGAAAAUACUCAGCUGCUCACAGGCAUGCUCAGACCCCAGCAUGCCCAGACCUAGAAACAAAGAACAAGAUCUCUGCUCUCAGAUCCCUCAAGCCUAGCUGGGGACAGCCUUUCUCAGAGUCAUGUUGGGGUUUAAUGCUCUCCAUCUCUACCACCAACCCAAAUUUGAAAAAUGAAAAAAAAUAUAGAUAGUUAGAGAUAUGUGAAUGGCAGGAGGGGAACCUCACUCCAGCUUCACAAUGCUUUCUUCCAUUUCUACUGUUUUCAGCAUAACCUUUGUGCUCUUUAAGAGAAAACUUUUAAUGUUCAACAAUCUUUUGCUGAGUGCAGUGGCACAUGCCUAUAAUUUCAGCUACUCAAGAGGCUGAGGCAGGAGGAUUGCAAAUUCAGAGCCAGCUUGGGCAGCUUAAUCAACUUUUCCUCAAAAUAAAAUAUAAGAAAGAGCUGGGAUAUAUCUCAUUAGUAUAGCAUUUGCCUAGCAUGCACAAGGCCCUGGGUUCCAUCCCCAAUAAUACAGUCUUUUCCCUCCACUUAUUCUCUCUGCCAUAGGCUACAAAAAUAUCUCUUAAAACUUAGAAGCCAUGUGCCAACCUAUUUCUCUUUGCAUCCCUUCCAUAAUAACCCCGUUUUUUGGAUUGUGAAUACAGAACCCCCUCACUGCCACCAAAAUAAAAUGGUUGAGAAAGGUCAAGAAUUUGAAAAAAUAAAAAUUGCUUGGAGGAGAGGGACAGAUUGGAUAGCAAGCUACCAUAGAAAGAUUGGCAAUACCCUGCUGGUGGUACCUGGGAAGUGGCAAGUAAAAAAGCCUAGCCCAUGUUGGAGGAGGGUGAGUGUGAGGGUAAGGGGUGUUGAAAGUGAGCCUGAAGGAGAAAGUGACUGACUGUGUGUAAUAACCACUGAGGGUGUUGGGGAUCAGGGUGGGUAGGGAUAGUUGGUGUAUAUUUGGGCAAAAACAGGGCUUUAGUCUUAGGACUAGAUUCUGGCCAAUUCUUCUAUCUCAGGUAGUCAGCCCCAAAAAGACUUGUGUGCAAGUGUGGGACACACAUGUAGACUCACCCAGAUUGCAAUAAGAGAAAAAGGCUGCACACAGGGUUUUUUUCCUUCUUCCAUCUAAGCAUGUGCAAGAGAUCUAAACAGGGUUUCAUGACAGCUGCUGUUGAUCCUACCCAACCUUCAAAAUUCAGCUCAAAUUUCAUCCCCUUUCAUGAAGCUCCUACAUAACUCAAAUUGAUCUUUCCUAUCUCUGGAUUCUGCAGCAGCAUUUUAGCAUUUAAUCAUAUACUGUAUUAUAUUAUUCACAUCUUUCAUGUUUAAUGUCUUGGCUACAAGAUGCAGAGAUCCUUUGCCAUCAUUACACAGGUACUCAUGUGCCUAGAGCCCAAAGGCAUGAACUGAAAUGUGGAACGACAGCUAACUCAGACACUUCAGCGUGUACAUCAGUAUACUUUCUUUCCUUCUUAUCAAACCUAUGCCCAACUUAAAAAAAAAAAAAAAAAAACUCCAUUUUUUUACCUUAAAAAGUGACUAACCCCCAAUACUUUAAAAUGCAACUUUAUUUGAAAACAGAGUCAUUGCAAGAUGUAAUUAUUUAAGACUACAGUCAUACUGCAGUAAUUCAAUGUGACUAGAGUCCUUGUAAGAAGAUGGCCGUGUGAAGAGAGAGACAUGCAGGAAGAAUGUAAUGUGAAGAUGGAGGAUUGGGACAAUAUAUCUACAAGCCAAAGGAUACCAAAAUUGCUAGAAGACCACCAGAAGCAAGGGAGAAGUAAAGAAGGAUUCGCCUACAGUUUUCAGAGGAAGCAUGGCUCUACCUACACUUGAUUUCAGACUUCUAGCCUCCAGAACACUGAAGCAAUAAAUUUCUAUUACUUUAAGCUGCCCAGUUUAUUAUACUUACAGUUAUAGCAACCUUGCUAUAACUAAUCCAUGAGCUAACAUAUUUAACUAGUCCUCCAAUUUUUCUAAUGAAACUCAUUCUAAGGAAAGAUUACAUGUUGACCUUAUGAAUAUUGUUUGGGUGAGUUAGGUAAAGAAAAACAUUCCAGAGGAAUGUGGAGAAUUAUAACAUGAGUGGUUGUAAGAAUAAAUAGAUGUGAGAACAUCCUCUGAAAAUGUCCAGGAGAUUCUGGCCAGAAUUUAAAACUUGUUUUAGUCUGUUUUCUGUUACUAUAACAAAAUACCUGAGUCUAAAUAUAAAGAAAAGAAGUUUAUUUAGCUCACAGUGUUGGAAGCAAAAAUUCCACCUUGUUGUGUCAUAUCAUGGUGGAUGAAAUCUUGGCAGGAACACCUUUGAGGAGAGAUCCCAUGGUGAGAUAGUAGCCAGGGAGGGAACAGUGUUACUCUUUUAUGACAACCUCUUUUGGAGAGUUAACCAUGAUCCCAUGAGAACUUCCAAAUGCAGUGCCUCCAAAUGACCUAACCACCUUUCACUAGUUCCCCCUUCUUAAAGGCUACACACUACUUCUCAACAUUGUCACACUGCAGAUCAAGCUUCCAACACAAGAACUUUUGGGGGACAUGCUUAAAUCAUAUCCAACCAUAGUGGAAUCCUAGCUCUAAAUUUGAGCUCAAGAACACAAAGAUUCCUGAAUUUUCUAGACUUGUCAAUUUAUCAAAGAGAUGAGUAUAAAAAGUGAGUAGACAUGGGCCCCGGAGCUCAGUUUUUAUGCCAUACAUUGUGUAAUCCUGGGGGGAGGUAUGACUCAAGAGUGCCCUGGAACUCCCCAGCUGAUUCUGAGCCAAAUUAAGGGACACAUGGAUGAAGAGGAGCCCACCCUCAAAGACCAGAGCAUUUUAUUCCACAAGGUAAUGCUAAGUCUACUGACAAAUGAGUCCAAAUUAACCUGGAUUCUUGGAUUUUAUUGAUUUGGGGUGACCACUAAACUAGAAAGAUCCAAGUCAGAGCCCUACAUUCUAAAUGCCUAUUCACAGACACAGGGCCCCAAGAACUACUGCCUGGGCUUCAGGGAUGAUUGAUUGGCAAAGAGUCCUUGGAGGCCCCUUACAUCAGUGUUUUUUCCAGGCAUUGAAAUAUCUCUGAAUAUCCAUAUUAAGCAGAGAAGACUGGGUGGGAAAUGGAAGAGACAGUAGGUGGGAUGACCUUGGAAAGAAACAGGAGGUGGCUGGUCAACGUGGUGCAUGCCUGUAAUCCCAGGGGCUUGAGAGGCUGAUGCAGGAGGGUCAUGAGUUCAAAGCCAGCCGUGGCAACUUAGCAAGGCCCCAAGCAACUCAGCAAGCCCCUGUCUCUAAAUAAAGUAUAAAAUAUAAAAAAGGAUGUGGCUCAGUGGUUAAGCGCCUCUGGGUUCAAUUUCCUGGUACAAACAAAACAAUAACAACAAAAAUGGGGUAGAAUUUGGAAGCAUCUGAGGUAUAUGGGAGGAAAGUUGUGUGUGUGUGUGUGUGUGUGUGUGUACAAAUUCUGCCAUACUUUUGCCUGUCUGCAUUUGAGGUUGGAGUUGAUGAAGAUCCUGAUGUAGUAUCAGGAAAAUUCAGCAAUAUGGGAGGGGGAUAAUACAGAUAAAUUUGACUUAGAAAUGAGCUCAAAUUUGGAAGUUGCAAAAUUUUAUUAUUUCUAGUAUAUAAAUUAGACAAGAGUGGGAGAAAUGACAGUAUCUGUAUUUACUACCUUAGCUUCAAAUUGAUCAAUGUUCCAGACUCAUUUUUUUUUUUUAAGAACUGGUGACUUUCUGGUCCCUCCCCCAAAUUUAAAGAAUUCCAAAUUGACCCCCUCUCUGGCUCAAAAUAUGCAAGAUCUAAAAUUUACCUGGUGAGGGCUGGGAAUAUAGCUCAGUUGGCAAAGUGCUUGCCUUGCAUGCACAAGGCCCUGGGUUCAAUCCCCAGCACCACAAAACAAAACAAAACAAAACAAAUGGCUUCCUCCUGGGCUGGGGAUGUGGCUCAAGCACGCAUGCUUCGGCCCAGGUUCGAUCCUCAGCACCACAAACAAAGAUGAUGUGUCCGCCGAGAACUAAAAAAUAAAUAUUAAAAAUAAAUAAAUUAAUUAAAUAAAUAAAAUUUACCUGGUGAGAUUCCUUCCUUUGGAUCCUGGAAAUUUUGUGGUCCUCACUUUAAAGGAUAAAGACUCCUGGGAGUGCUAACACCUUAAAGCUUUAUCACUGAUUACCUUAUAGAGAAGAUUAGGGGAUUAGCCAAGCAUUAGUAAUGCAGGAUAAAAGAAGGAAAAGAGCAAUGGAAGGGGAAGGCACACUCAUUAAAAGCCUCUACCAUGCUCUCUCAAGGAGCUGGUCUUGCUGUUUGUUUCCAGUGCAGAAUUUGAGAAAAGUCUACCCUGGUUCAUUUGCAGGAGUGAUAAGGAUUUUUGUAUUUUACUCACUGAAUCUUCAGGUCUUUGAUAACAAACAAGAAACCAUGUAAAAACUCCAUGUCCAGUUUUGAGCUACUCUAGAAGUCUUAAUUUAUUCAUGUAGUAAACAUAUAUUGAGCCCCUACUAUGUGGCAGACACUCUUUAAGGACUAUGAUCACAAGAGUGAACAAAAUAGAACAGUAAUCUUACUUCACACAGCUUACUUUCUAGAGAGGGUGAGGUGUGUCAGCCAAUACAAGUAAAAUGCAUCCUGGCCAAAUGAAAAUAGGUUCAACAUAAUAGAAUAAGACAGAAAAGGGGAAGAGAAGUCUGGGGAAUAGGACUAUGAGCAACGUGACACUGGAGCAAGAUUAGAAAGAGGAGGCUAGCAGGGAGGAGACUGGAGGGAGUGAACAGUGUCUGCAAGGUCCCAAGGCAAGAGCAGGAAGGGCCAGUAGUUGGGUGUUGGGGAAUAUAGGAGAUGUGUUUGGUGAGGUACAGGAACCCCAGUACUUUAAACCACCUAGAUGCUUUCUAAGGACUCUGCCUUUUAGUUAGAAUGAGAGGGGGGAUGUGGAUCAUUUGUGUGGAAAGAUUCUAAGUGUUUUUAGGUUGAAAGUAGAUUAUGCAGACUCCUCAGAAUGUUAGGAAAUGAAGCCAAAGCUUGUUAAAAGCUUUGCAAAUGAUUGCAGUGGGGUUUUAACUAGAAACUAACUGCUGUCAUCUCCCAGAGUGAAGAAUCCAUCAGAUGCCCGUGGACUUAGGACCACUGCAGUCACUAAUGGGACCUCAUGGCAGAGACAGCUGGAAGAGCAAAGCCACGCACCUGGAGGUAAUAGGAAAGGAGACCCAUGAGAAUGGGGCCCAACAUUGUGGACCAUCUCCAGAGUUGACCCCAUGUGUCCAACCAUAGCCCAUAGGACUCCUUCCCUCCCAAGCCAAAGAGCUUGC
RNAcentral lists this long non-coding RNA (8291 nucleotides) under Marmota monax (woodchuck). The record is from RNAcentral. Lineage: Eukaryota; Metazoa; Chordata; Mammalia; Rodentia; Sciuridae.